UCAGGGAUUUUCAUGGGGUUCUCAGGACUUACCUGGAUAAUUGGUGCGCAGCGUUCUACUGCGACCUAGCGGCUCAUCAGCCGUAUCGUGACGGAGCUCCGAACACACCUCAGCGGCCUUUAAUGGGUCGAAUUAGGGUUUUCUUCUCUGGUGAAUUUAUACGCUUGGAUAGGGGAUUAGGGUUUUAUUUAUGCUCAAGGGAUUAGAAUUAGGGCCAUGAAAUCCGAUUACGGGUUGUUUAUUUAUUUAUUUAUUUUACAUGCUCAAGGGAUUGGAAUUAGGGGCAUGGAAUUCGAUUUUGGGUUUUUUUCUUAAAAA
Molecule: long non-coding RNA, 318 nt
Organism: Magnolia sinica
Lineage: Eukaryota; Viridiplantae; Streptophyta; Magnoliopsida; Magnoliales; Magnoliaceae
Exons: 2
Source: RefSeq, a predicted model, not a curated record